UGCGGCGUGCUCCACAUUCUAAUCGAACGAGAAAGGGGACUUCGGUCCCUGACGUAAGUGGCGCACGGGAACACGUGACUUAUCUACCCUCGAGUGGGGAAUAACUUCGGGAAACCGAGGCUAAUACCGCAUAAUACCCACGGGUCAAAGGAGCAAUUCGCUUGAGGAGGAGGUCGCGGCCGAUUAGUUAGUUGGCGGGGUAAUGGCCCACCAAGACAGUGAUCGGUAUCCGGCCUGAGAGGGCGCACGGACACACUGGAACUGAAACACGGUCCAGACUCCUACGGGAGGCAGCAGUGGGGAAUUUAGCGCAAUGGGGGAAACCCUGACGCAGCAACGCCGCGUGGAGGAUGAAGUCUCUUGGGACGUAAACUCCUUACGAUCGGGACGAUUAUGACGGUACCGGAAGAAGAAGCCCCGGCUAACUUCGUGCCAGCAGCCAGCGGAAAUACGAGGGGGGCGAACGUAGAUCGGAACUAUAGGGCGUAAAGGGUGCGAUAAGCGG
RNAcentral lists this ribosomal RNA (505 nucleotides) under uncultured bacterium. RNAcentral's name for it is "bacterial SSU rRNA". It matches the Rfam family "Bacterial small subunit ribosomal RNA", at positions 38 to 578 of the family's 1533-position model. The record is from RNAcentral.